GACUCGUUAGGCCGGUUGGAACCCGUUAAGUUAUUUCUGAAAAUUAAAACCCUUUCUACUCUGUUGAAAGAAGCGAUCCAAGUAUAUCCAACGAUGGCUCUCUCACCCUCUCUGCCUCUCUCGUAGACUCCAUAACUCCAUCUCUCUCUUUUUCAUCCAAACCCACAAUUUCAGAGUGAGAGAGAUCUGAGCUGGGAUGCCUGGGAUUGGGUUCUGAAGUGCUUAUUGGGAUUUGGGUGGAAACAAGAAAAAGAGCGUGCUGAAUUGGAGGAUCUUACUGAAAAAGGGGGUCACUGAUGGAGCAGAUGCCAACGCUUCUCCCAUCUCUCAAGUCUAUGUUCAGAAUUGGAAACAUUUCCAGAAGGGGAAUUGUCGAGAAUCACUUUACAUCUUCCAUGUUCCAAAGGGUCGGAGUCAUGGAAAACACGGGUUUCUAAAUUCUAAACCUAAGUACCUAACUCUUUGCUAUCACUGGGGAUUUCAGAAUACCAUGAGCUCCAUUGUGUGAUACUCCAUUCCACUUGGUUUAUAUAAAAGCUCUAGGAACAAAAAGUUUGCAGAUUUAUUUCCUAGAUCUCUUGAGUACUAUGUGAACCUUCUCCAAGAAAUCUAUCUUGAGUAAAACGAUUGUGUUGUCAGAUUAAGUUGUUGAACUUUUCACAUAAUAGUAUGGAAUCCAUUAUCCUUCUUUGUAGAGCUUUAUGUUCCUCUCUUCUUCUUUUUUCCCCCUAAACAAAUCUUGCUUUACAGAUCUAUGUUCCUUCUUACCAUCAACCUAUGCCUUCUGGGUAUGUUUUUUUAUUUCUUUUGCUGAGUGUUUGUGUGGUACUUUCUUCUUCUUCUUCUUCGUUUUCUUCCUUUUUGUUUUUUUAGUGUCAAUUAAUAGUAUUUAAAUUUUGACCUUUCUCAUUAAUCACACUAUCAACUU
Rosa chinensis is the source of this 928-nucleotide long non-coding RNA. RefSeq lists it as uncharacterized. The record is from RefSeq and is a predicted model, not a curated record. The transcript is spliced from 2 exons. Lineage: Eukaryota; Viridiplantae; Streptophyta; Magnoliopsida; Rosales; Rosaceae.